AGCAGUAGCCGCGGGAACACGUAGGGUGCAAGCGUUAAUCGGAAUUACUGGGCGUAAAGCGUGCGCAGGCGGUUAUAUAAGUCAGAUGUGAAAUCCCCGGGCCCAACCUGGGACCUGCAUUUGUGACUGUAUAGCUAGAGUACGGUAGAGGGGGAUGGAAUUCCGCGUGUAGCAGUGAAAUGCGUAGAUAUGCGGAGGAACACCGAUGGCGAAGGCAAUCCCCUGGACCUGUACUGACGUUCAUGCACGAAAGCGUGGGGAGCAAACAGGAUUAGAUACCCCAGUAGUCCCUGUCUCUUAUAC
Molecule: ribosomal RNA, 303 nt
Filed under: uncultured bacterium
Lineage: Bacteria
Description: partial 16S ribosomal RNA
Rfam family: Bacterial small subunit ribosomal RNA
Source: RNAcentral